RNAcentral lists this ribosomal RNA (727 nucleotides) under uncultured bacterium. Its description in RNAcentral is "bacterial SSU rRNA". It matches the Rfam family "Bacterial small subunit ribosomal RNA", at positions 60 to 784 of the family's 1533-position model. The record is from RNAcentral.
AGUCGAACGGUAACGCGGGGCAACCUGGCGACGAGUGGCGAACGGGUGAGUAAUAUAUCGGAACGUGCCCAGUAGUGGGGGAUAGCCCGGCGAAAGCCGGAUUAAUACCGCAUACGACCUAAGGGUGAAAGCGGGGGAUCGCAAGACCUCGCGCUAUUGGAGCGGCCGAUAUCAGAUUAGGUAGUUGGUGGGGUAAAAGCCUACCAAGCCAACGAUCUGUAGCUGGUCUGAGAGGACGACCAGCCACACUGGGACUGAGACACGGCCCAGACUCCUACGGGAGGCAGCAGUGGGGAAUUUUGGACAAUGGGCGCAAGCCUGAUCCAGCCAUGCCGCGUGCGGGAAGAAGGCCUUCGGGUUGUAAACCGCUUUUGUCAGGGAAGAAACGCUCUGGGCUAAUACCCUGGGGUAAUGACGGUACCUGAAGAAUAAGCACCGGCUAACUACGUGCCAGCAGCCGCGGUAAUACGUAGGGUGCAAGCGUUAAUCGGAAUUACUGGGCGUAAAGCGUGCGCAGGCGGUUCUGCAAGACAGAUGUGAAAUCCCCGGGCUCAACCUGGGAACUGCAUUUGUGACUGCAUAGCUAGAGUACGGUAGAGGGGGAUGGAAUUCCGCGUGUAGCAGUGAAAUGCGUAGAUAUGCGGAGGAACACCGAUGGCGAAGGCAAUCCCCUGGACCUGUACUGACGCUCAUGCACGAAAGCGUGGGGAGCAAACAGGAUUAGAUA